GAACCUCCCACAGCAGAACUUAAGAACUACCCCAUCCUAAUUCAUGUAGGACCUGCGUGUGUGUGUUGAGGCCGCUUUGGAAGUUGUAUGUAAAAAAAAGAAAAGAAAAAAAAGAAAAAGAAAAGUGUUUUCAGCCAGAUGUGACCGUGGUGCUGCACUGGGACAGUUUUCUGACCAAGAAGAGAAUGUUAGGGUGUAAUGUACAGUAGUUUUAGUAGUAAGAAAAAAAAGGUACAGUUUUCUUCAGAUUUGACUGCUGAUGUUUUGUUGUAGUAACUUGUUUUAGCCAAACUUAUUCCCUCCCCCAUUUCCUUCUUUAAGGUUUGAAAACAGGGUUUCCUGAGGCAUGCUUGCAAGUGACCUCUGACAUUUGUAGUGAUUACGAGGGGGGAUGCAAAGAGAGCCAUGCCAGUCAGGGGGCGGGCUAAGUGAGUUCCCCCCUGAAAUCUGCGCUCUCCCGGUUUUUGUUUAUUUUACUUUGUUUGCUUUAAUUGUAUGCAAAACCAAAAUGUCAAACAUUGCAGACUUCUAUGUUGUAGUCCUGACGUGCGAGUGUGUAAAUACUGAGUACAAUCAUCGGGAUCUUGUUUUUUGAGAGCGAAGCAGAUAAAUUGAAGAUAGGUGUAGUUUCUAAAGAACAUGUAUCAUCCUUUGUAAGUUAACCAUCUGCAUGUCUUCAAGCCACCUGGCGUUAGCUAAUAAUAGUUUUUAAGAUAAGAGGAAAAGACUUUUUUUUUUUUACACAUUUUAUUGUUGACAAUGUAUUUGCUUACCUGAAUGUCCCAGACAAUAAUGUGACCCUUUUUGUUACUUCAAAUGUUUUUAUUUUCCAUUGUUUUUGAUGAUUUCUUUGUAUUACAUAUAGGUGAUUUAUAACAAAAAGGAAAAAAGUUAUUGGAGAAAUUUUCAAAUUGAAAUAUAUUUUAUUUGAAAGUUUAUGGACCUUUUAACCGUGACCCGGGAAAAUUGUAUAAUCAUAUAAUUUGAGCUAACUUGACGGUUAUGAGAAAUGUAUCAAGAGUUUUAUUUUUUAAGGUUGUUUAAUGAAGUGUUGUUUUUGGGUUUCAUUUUUUUACUGUAAGAUAGAGAAACUUGUGACUAGUGUCUUUAUUUUAGUGGCGGGGAAAUGUGUAGUCUUCGCCACACAGGGGCAGCAGAGAUGGCUGUGAAUUGUGCGAUUCAGAUGUGUUUGUAUUCAAAUCUGUAAAACUGCAGGAGGUUAACAGACAGUAUAGCCUGGAUUUGAUAUUUAAAGUCGAUACUGAUGCAUUUUUUUGUUUAAAAUGUGUUAUAAAGUUUUUAAAGUAAAUAUAGUUUUCUGUGUUUGCUUUCAUACAUACAUGGAGCUGGGUGGGGUUACAGUUGUUCUCGAGAGCAUUUAUAGGUUACAGUCAACCGUUGUGCGGUGCUUUGGAGUGUUGUACACACUGUUUUUGCAAUGAUUUUCAAUGAUUUUACAAUGAUGUAGUACAGGCACAGUACAGGUACUUUAGCUCGAUCAGCCCUUGGUGCGAUGGGUAAGGAUCCGGUAAAAUAAGAUCAGUACCAUAUAGUACAUUCAGAAAUAAAUGUGCUUUGGUAGUUGUUGAUAUUAAUGUAUUCUGACCCUACAGCUUCCUGGUGGUGGAAAAGAAGACAAGUCACGACUGUGGGCAGUUGGUGAGUUGAGUGUUAACUGGCAUGGAAGAGCUGAUGCCCUUAGCUGUGGGGUAAGGGGGUGCUUCCCCUCUGGGUGAGGCACUUUCUUGAUCUGUUUAGCAGUUGUUGUAAACAAAUGCAGAGGUAUAGUCCAAUAGUUUUUGUGGUGAGCAAAGUGAGAGACGUAAUCCAGUGUGUUGGAUUGUCUUGAUUUUCUUUUAAGCUGAUGAACAACCCUCUGUUGUUCUUGUAAGUCCGCAGUCCUGUUGUUUGGGGUAUGACAAGGUCUUGGAGUGAGUCCUGUCUGUCUGGGGGAGAGAUGAGCUGAAGUGGGCAGCUCUUACACCUUGUAUUUAUGGGAUACAAUAGGAAAAAAAUGCUUUGUGGGUGAAGUAUUCACUCCUUUUAGGCCUUUCCUGGUGUUUGUUUCUGUUGGACACGUGCAUGUUGCGUGUGUCACAUCCUGAACAUUUGUCCUGUAUCUGUCUGUCUGUGUUUUGCAGACAGUUGACACACUUCUGAUUUGUUUUGUGUGAGUGUCAUAAUCAUAUCAACUGUUUUGAGUCAGAGGAACAUUCUGUUAGUUUUAUGCAGACAUAUGAAGUAAUGUGAUUUGGGCAGAUUUUGUUGUGAACUUCCUGGAUUAGAGACAUGCGUCAACAUGUUUUUAUGUCAUGUAGCUCUUUAUUAUGCUGUAUGUGGAAGUGGUGUAAUUGGUGGUUGCUGUGAUACACUUGGUUCAUGACUUCUGAGCUUAAGUGGAUUUGAGAGUCUGGGUGAUCUGGGGGUCACUUAGACCAGAAGAAAUGUAGUAGUAAUACAUAUCCUAAGGUAUACCAUACCUUAAAGUGAAGUGACGUUCCUAAAGAUGGGAGUUAUAGAGUGAGUGAAAGCUGUAUACCCCGUGGUGGUGAAGCAGAGUUGUGGAUGGGUUUGAAUGUGAGUGGCAGGAUCUUGUAGUUAAUAUGGAACUUGAUUGGGAGCCAGUGAAGCUGUUGCUGGACAGGAGUGAUGUGGGUGGCUGAAUUCUGAAGCAGUUGGAGUGUACGAAGAGACUUGUGGGUGAGACCGAAGAGGAGGGAGUUGCAAUAGUCAAGGCGGUUGAUAUUGUGUAAGUGGAAAUGGAGAAGCAGUUGGUUUUGGAUAAAGUUGAUGUAAUAUCAUUGAGGAGGACCUCUAUGUUGUUGCUGUGUAGUUGAAGAAAAUUAGAGGUCCAUUGGAGGGAGGUAUGGAAGAUGAGUGUCAGUACCUCCGUCAGCUGGUUUGUGCGGUCUUUAAGCAGCCGCCCAGGGAUGUUGUCGGGACCAGCAGCUUUAUGUGUGUUGAUCCUUUGGAGGGUACUCCUCACCUCCGCUGUGGUCACACUGAGCGGCUGUUCUCCUGUUGGAGGGAGUUCUGUCCUCCCGUGUCAUGGCAGUGGAGAAGAAGGCUUUGCAGAGGAGUGUGGGACAAAGUCUCCCCACAGGAAGAUGGCUGUGGAGUAUCAAAAGCAGGACCAGCAGACUGAGCCCAACAGGACGAUGGAAUACCUGGGAGGAGUGCUGUCCAGUAGGACUCCCUGCAAGAAGGCUGGAACAACAGUGAGAUGGCCAUCACUGAGCUGAAGGCGCAGGGAAGAACUCCAACACCUGACAGUCUGGGAGUCAACUUGUGGAGGUCACCUCAACAGUCUACCACAAUGCAGAUUUCAUUAUCCAGCAAGACCUGGCCCCUGCUCAUACUGCCAGAAGCACCAAAACCUGGUUUGAUGCUCAUGCCAUCACAGCGCUUGACUGGCCAGCCAACUCGCCCGACCUAAACCCCAUUGACAAUCUAUGGGCUAUUCUCAAGAGGAAAAUGAGGGGCACCAGACCCAACAACAAAGAAGAGCUGACAGCAAGCAUCAAACAAAUGUGGGCUUCCAUAACUCCUAUGCUAUGCCACAGCCAGAUUGCCUCAAUGCCACAUCGCAUCAAGGCAGUGAUUAAGGCAAACGGAUUCCCCACCAAGUAUCGAUGAUUGAUAUAUCAUUUUGAAAGUACCACAUUUUCAUUGAUUUCUUUAUUUUCUGCUAAAACAGUAUUCCAAUUCACAGUAUUCUAAUUUAUUGAAAUCCUGUUCUUGUGGGUUUCACGAGCUGGAAGCCAAAAUUACGUAAAAAAUACACAAAUAAAUACCUAAAAUUUAUUACAUUGUGGACCACUAAUAUAUCAAUGUUUAACUUUCUGAAUGGAAUUAUGGAAAUUAAACUACUUUUUCACAAUAUUCUAAUUUUUCUGAAAGGAUCUGUACUCGUGCACACGUUUUACAUUUUGCAUUCUAAUCAUCUCCAGGGUGUUCCUCUUCAUCUUCAUAUAUAUCUACAUUUCUACUUUGUAUUACAAAAAGCUAAGUAGCUCAGCAUCUUCAACAUUGACAUUCAAUGCCACACUACUAUCACAAUCCCCCAACAAAGACAAAUUGCUUUUGAAAUAACUUUUAUUACAUCAAUAGGCUGAGAUCAUUCAUAAGAGCUUGUUCUUUUUCCUGUGACAUUAAUUUAUUCCAUUAAGGUUAGACGGAAGUUAUAUCCUAAACAAUUCCUCUAAAUGUGUUGAAAAGCACAACGUUUGCUCUGUAAAACUCCUUUCCCUAAGCCCCUCCCCCUCCACGGGGAGGUCAAAGGUCUGCAUAAAACAAACUUCCACCUGCUCUCCGUCUGCUAAAACCCCACCGUUUCUGUUUAUUUUUAAACAAUAGGGAUUACACACGUGAUACAAUGCAAACAAUUCAUUUCACAAGUUUCCCCUUCAACACACUGAAGUUGUGCUUUAAACAUUACAAAGUGGGUCUGCUAUUUCAAAAUUACUUUUAUCAAAGACUAAACAUACAUAGUUUUCUUCCACUUAAAGCGAAGCCUAAGCUAUCUCGCUACAACUAACACACUGAUUCAAAACGCCAACAGUACAAAACAACAAUCCAAAAGUCUCUCACCUUUUCCGUCGAUCCGCUAAUGACUUAUAACGCCGUUCACCUGUGGCGUUUCAAACCAGACGCCGAAUGAUUGUCGCCUCUGACGUCACUAAGCCGCGACCGUUUUUUCUUUCUUUUCCGGUGCAUCUUUGUGAUUUAACUACUCCGGAAAACAGCGACCGACUCCUCCUGCAGCAGUACUUUGUUUUAUUUUCUGCCUGCAUUUGUAAUAACACAUAAUCAAGAAGGCAAUUACUCUAACUUACAGCUUGAAAUGUUUUAUAACCAAUCAACGCAUUCUCUCAUAAAGUGCAGUGGACACAAUCCAUACAGAUUACAAUACAAUCUGUGUGGAGUAUGCAACACUUCACUUCUAAUACAUAUAUAAGACACCUUAAUACUUUAAAUACAUAACAACAACACUCUCUUUUAACAUAGUUACUAAACACAACAAAAAACCCAAUAAAACUUAUUAAUUUGAAUGCCACCAAUAAACUUGCCUUAGUACUGGCCUCUUGAAUCACAGUUUGUCUGUGAAAAAACUUUUGCUAAGUCUGCAAAUUAGCCGUCUAUCUUUGAGCUGUAGCUGCCCGUUCUUGUGGAGACUAUUUACUAGCGUUCUUUGCAUGUUUUUUUUUUGCAUGUCUUCCGUCAAAACAUCUUUCAUUGUCCACUCUUUAUUUAAGACUCAGCGCUCAUUUUUAAUGAAGGGCUGAGAAUCCUAGGCGACACAUUGAAGUCGACAGCAACCUUAAUGCAUCACACUCAAUGCUCAAUAUCUUUGGCACCAUCACCUAGGUAACAUGAUUGAGGUGUCUUCUAAUACAAUUUAAUUUAAUAAUAUAACGUGGACAAGUUCGGCGGGCCGGAUUACAAAGCCCAAUAGGCCGUAGUUUGCCCGUGCCUGGUCUGGACUCUUUAAAACUAACAGCUGCUCCAGCAUCUGGUCUAAACUCCAGUCUGACUUUGAAUGGCUGCAAUUUUUUAAACAUGAAAACACCACACACUUUAAUCAGGACAUAACAUCGCAAUAAAGGAGACAUUUGGAUCCUGACAUAAACGUCCUUUUAAUAGGAAGCAGAUCACAAUCACGCUGCAUUCCAAGUCCUCUUCAUCCUCAUUAAAGAGUGAUCAAUCAUGAUAGGAAACAAAUUAGAAACGGCCUCAGUACAAAACAAUUCUCUCAUGCGAGUUUUUGUUUUCACACUACAUUCGUUUUGGUUACAGGAGAUGUAUUCACAAGGCUUUUUCUGAAAAAAGACAAACACUAAACAUCGAUGACUUCAGUACAUUGUUACAGAAAUGAAAGUAACAAAACAUCAAAGAGACACAUGCUGCCACACAAAGUUUCCCAUCAUGCAAGUGUGGGUUGCUUAUUCACAGGGUGGGGCGUCAUCGGUUUCCACAGGCUUGUGUCCGUGUGCGUGCAUGCAUGUGUGUUUUCUUACAUGUCUUUUUGUGCUUCGGCAGGAAGGUUUUUUUAUGUGUGUACGAGUGUUUCGCGUAAAUACAGAAAGCGGGCGACAGACGAGCCUCGAGUUUAAUGAGUCAUCUUUUUUAAAAACUAUGCUUCUUAAUAUAAUUUGUAUUACUUUGUUGCUUUUUAAGCUUCUACCCGACAUGUCGUGUCUCUUUUGGAGCCUACGGUAGGACAAUGCGUGGAAAUGCCGAGUGCCGUCAGUGUUGUUUAAAGGACAAAUCUGACCACAACGCUCUUGUUGGAGAACCAUUUGGGGAAAAAAACAACAACA
Long non-coding RNA from Cynoglossus semilaevis (tongue sole), 6320 nucleotides. RefSeq lists it as uncharacterized. The record is from RefSeq and is a predicted model, not a curated record. The transcript is spliced from 3 exons. Lineage: Eukaryota; Metazoa; Chordata; Actinopteri; Pleuronectiformes; Cynoglossidae.